GAUGGACGCUGGCGGCGUGCCUAAUACAUGCAAGUCGAGCGAACGGACGAGAAGCUUGCUUUUCUGAUGUUAGCGGCGGACGGGUGAGUAACACGUGGAUAACCUACCUAUAAGACUGGGAUAACUUCGGGAAACCGGAGCUAAUACCGGAUAAUAUUUUGAACCGCAUGGUUCAUAAGUGAAAGACGGUCUUGCUGUCACUUAUAGAUGGAUCCGCGCUGCAUUAGCUAGUUGGUAAGGUAACGGCUUACCAAGGCAACGAUGCAUAGCCGACCUGAGAGGAUGAUCAGCCACACUGGAACUGAGACACGGUCCAGACUCCUACGGGAGGCAGCAGUAGGGAAUCUUCCGCAAUGGGCGAAAGCCUGACGGAGCAACGCCGCGUGAGUGAUGAAGGUCUUCGGAUCGUAAAACUCUGUUAUUAGGGAAGAACAUAUGUGUAAGUAACUGUGCACAUCUUGACGGUACCUAAUCAGAAAGCCACGGCUAACUACGUG
Molecule: ribosomal RNA, 497 nt
Filed under: uncultured bacterium
Lineage: Bacteria
Description: partial 16S ribosomal RNA
Rfam family: Bacterial small subunit ribosomal RNA
Source: RNAcentral